Non-coding RNA from Arachis ipaensis, 763 nucleotides. NCBI's taxonomy places the organism in Eukaryota, Viridiplantae, Streptophyta, Magnoliopsida, Fabales, Fabaceae. The record is from RefSeq and is a predicted model, not a curated record.
AGCACAAUAGAUCCACACUUAACCAUACCAACCAUUUUUCUACUGUGUAAUAAAAAAGAAAAUCAAAAGGUAAAUAGGUAUUCCCAAACAGCCCCUCCCCUAACCCAAAAAAAAAUUUAAAAAGAAAAAAAUUUUAGAACAGCAAGCGUGCAAAGUUGAGAAAUUUAAAACAAAAAAAAUAUAUUUAAGGGAAAAAAAAAGACCAAAGCAUGAGGGGUACAUUCCAUUAAGCACAAAGCAACAAAGGCUUUCAGGUUUGUGCAGAGAACAUAUAAACACAAACUCAAUAAAUGAACUCCUUUUCUCUCCUAACAUUGUUACUAUUUCUACUAUUUAGUGCUAAAUAAACCAAAGUGCUAAAUAAACACAUAAACACUGUUACUAUUUAGUGCUAAAUAAAACUCUCAUCUGGAGAAAAUUAUUUGGAUUGGAUAGUUAAUCACUUUCAUCAGUACCAUGAACACCACAUAUUUAAGUUCCGGAAAUUAGAAAAUAUAAUAACAGCAUGAGCAAACACAUAAACCAAUAAUAACAUUCAUAGCCUAGCAUCUGAAAUAAAGUAAAAUCCUUCUAAGCACAGAGGACAGAGAUAGUGUUGGGCACAUGAACCUGUUAUGGAUGAAAGCAUGUCACCGCAGCUUAGACGCGUAUCACACAAGGAAACCAAGAGAUUGGUUCCCCACUCACUGAAAAUGAGUAUGGAAAAUAGAAAAGUUAAACAUUUACUGAACUAGAAAUACACUCAAGAAAUGUAGGCAAAAGG